Molecule: transfer RNA, 73 nt
Filed under: Bos taurus (domestic cattle)
Lineage: Eukaryota; Metazoa; Chordata; Mammalia; Artiodactyla; Bovidae
Also listed under: 4 other names
Rfam family: tRNA
About the family: Transfer RNA (tRNA) molecules are approximately 80 nucleotides in length.
Source: Rfam by way of RNAcentral
UCUCUGGCAGUCCAGUGGCUAGGACCUCACACUUCCACUGCCAGGGGCCUGGGUUCAAUCCCUGGUCAGGGAA